Molecule: ribosomal RNA, 140 nt
Filed under: uncultured bacterium
Lineage: Bacteria
Description: partial 16S ribosomal RNA
Rfam family: Bacterial small subunit ribosomal RNA
Source: RNAcentral
UGGGGAAUAUUGGGCAAUGGGCGCAAGCCUGACCCAGCAACGCCGCGUGAAGGAAGAAGGCUUUCGGGUUGUAAACUUCUUUUGUCAGGGACGAAGCAAGUGACGGUACCUGAGGAAUAAGCCACGGCUAACUACGUGCC